UUGAGUUUUAAGUUAAACUAAACUGUAAGCCUUCCAAGCUUAAAAUAAACACAUUUAAACUCAA
This 64-nucleotide transfer RNA is filed under the name Echinogammarus veneris. Its description in RNAcentral is "tRNA-Gly". The record is from RNAcentral. Lineage: Eukaryota; Metazoa; Arthropoda; Malacostraca; Amphipoda; Gammaridae.